Molecule: ribosomal RNA, 474 nt
Filed under: uncultured bacterium
Lineage: Bacteria
Description: SSU rRNA
Rfam family: Bacterial small subunit ribosomal RNA
Source: RNAcentral
AGGACGAACGCUGGCGGCGUGCUUAACACAUGCAAGUCGAACGGAAAGGCCCGCUUGCGGGUACUCGAGUGGCGAACGGGUGAGUAACACGUGGGCAACCUGCCCCUAGCUCUGGGAUAACUCCUCGAAAGAGGCGCUAAUACCGGAUAACGACCUUUUGUGGCAUCACGAUUGGUCCAAAGUUUUUCGGCUAGGGAUGGGCCCGCGGCCUAUCAGCUUGUUGGUGGGGUAAUGGCCUACCAAGGCGACGACGGGUAGCCGGCCUGAGAGGGCGACCGGCCACACUGGGACUGAGACACGGCCCAGACUCCUACGGGAGGCAGCAGUGGGGAAUAUUGCGCAAUGGGCGAAAGCCUGACGCAGCGACGCCGCGUGAGGGACGACGGCCUUCGGGUUGUAAACCUCUUUCAGCAGGAACGAAUCAAGACGGUACCUGCAGAAGAAGCACCGGCUAACUACGCGCCACGCAGCCGC